Molecule: long non-coding RNA, 450 nt
Organism: Canis lupus familiaris (dog)
Lineage: Eukaryota; Metazoa; Chordata; Mammalia; Carnivora; Canidae
Exons: 3
Source: RefSeq, a predicted model, not a curated record
UUUUUACUCUUCUUUGAACUUCAUGCUCCUUGAACAACUUUUCGUAUGAUAAUUAUUUUAUGAUUUCCAUGGAGAAGAUGGAGUUCGAUAUUUCCGUAAGCAGGUUUGCUCACAAUUUACUUAUGAAACCAUCAGAAGAGCUUCCUUCAGCUUCACAACUCAUUACUGAAAGGAAAGCAAGAAGAUCUUUGGAGUCAGGGAAAUCCUGAUAUUUCACACUUUGGUUUUGCAUGAAGAGUUUGGCUUCAAUCGGCUCAGUGGACUGGCAGGUCAUGCCCUAUUUAACACUCAAGUGCAAUGAAGAGCUGUUAGAAGACAUAUUAACACCCUCAAAUACCUAAAAUCAAUGUUAGUUGGAGAUAUUCAUAGACAUCAACUAAAGGAAUUUUUAAAAAUAAAGACAUUGAACACCAGGUAGUGGUUAUUUCUAUGGUAGCAGCAUAAUGGCAG